This 484-nucleotide ribosomal RNA is filed under the name uncultured bacterium. RNAcentral's name for it is "partial 16S ribosomal RNA". It matches the Rfam family "Bacterial small subunit ribosomal RNA", at positions 29 to 507 of the family's 1533-position model. The record is from RNAcentral.
AUUGAACGCUGGCGGCAGGCCUAACACAUGCAAGUCGAGCGGAUGAAGGGAGCUUGCUCCUGGAUUCAGCGGCGGACGGGUGAGUAAUGCCUAGGAAUCUGCCUGGUAGUGGGGGAUAACGUCCGGAAACGGGCGCUAAUACCGCAUACGUCCUGAGGGAGAAAGUGGGGGAUCUUCGGACCUCACGCUAUCAGAUGAGCAUAGGUCGGAUUAGCUAGUUGGUGGGGUAAAGGCCUACCAAGGCGACGAUCCGUAACUGGUCUGAGAGGAUGAUCAGCCACACGGGAACUGAGACACGGCCCAGACUCCUACGGGAGGCAGCAGUGGGGAAUAUUGGAGAAGGGGCGAAAGGCUGAUCCAGGCAAGCCGCGUGUGUGAAGAAGGUCUUAGGAUGGGAAAGCAAUUUAAGUUGGGAGGAAGGGCAGUAAGUUAAUACCGUGCUGUUUUGACGUUACCAACAGAAUAAGCACCGGCUAACUUCGUG